AGAGAACAUUGGGUGGGUUGGCUUGGGGAACUUCUCCGAUGCUAAAGUCAGUAUGGGUACUGAGUAGAAUAUAAAAUUGACCAAAGAGAAUAGAAAAUGAAGUUAUGAAAGCCAAUUUACACUUUGUUACCCCACAUUUCACUGAUACUAAAUGCAUAAAAAAGAAAUAUAUAAAAAAUUGAACUUUAUAUCAUACACUAUCCUUGCAAAAAUUAAAAACAGCUUGUUACUUUUAUUAUAUCAAGUAAAACACACCCUCACAUCUUGGGUUUUUGGACUUUUUGUUUGUUACGAUAUCUUUUCAUUUUUGUCUUAUUGUUUGCUUUAGGUGUUGGAUUAGAUAGAAGGGUUGAGAGAGGGAGAGAGAGAGAAGUAUUUUGAAAUAGCUUGUUAUGAUAUGCAUUAUUGUAGAAUUUUGACACGUGCCAACUUGAUUGGCCAUUUUGGAAU
RNAcentral lists this unclassified non-coding RNA (450 nucleotides) under Hevea brasiliensis (rubber tree). Lineage: Eukaryota; Viridiplantae; Streptophyta; Magnoliopsida; Malpighiales; Euphorbiaceae. The record is from RNAcentral.